Non-coding RNA from Nitrospirae bacterium GWC2_57_9, 186 nucleotides. The record is from Rfam. Lineage: Bacteria; Pseudomonadati; Nitrospirota.
UCCUUCUGUGUCAUGAAUGAUUGUUACAUAAGGAAUAAGAAACGGAAAGAGGUGUGAUCCCUCUGCUGUCGCGCAACUGUAAAGGAAACGAAAGCCGGGUACGCCACUGUCCUUUUGUAGCGGGACGGGAAGGCCGGCAAGUAGGUUGUCCUGAGCCAGGAGACGUCUUAUUGAAGUUCCACGGAG